This 173-nucleotide ribosomal RNA is filed under the name uncultured Chryseobacterium sp. RNAcentral describes it as "partial 16S ribosomal RNA". It matches the Rfam family "Bacterial small subunit ribosomal RNA", at positions 360 to 529 of the family's 1533-position model. Lineage: Bacteria; Pseudomonadati; Bacteroidota; Flavobacteriia; Flavobacteriales; Weeksellaceae. The record is from RNAcentral.
AAUAUUGCACAAUGGGUGGGAGCCUGAUCCAGCCAUCCCGCGUGAAGGACGACUGCCCUAUGGGUUGUAAACUUCUUUUGUACAGGGAUAAACCUAUUUACGUGUAAAUAGCUGAAGGUACUGUACGAAUAAACACCGGCUAACUCCGUGCCAGCAGCCGCGGUAAUAUAAUA